RNAcentral lists this ribosomal RNA (476 nucleotides) under Globigerinella siphonifera. RNAcentral describes it as "SSU rRNA". It matches the Rfam family "Eukaryotic small subunit ribosomal RNA", at positions 1229 to 1468 of the family's 1831-position model. The record is from RNAcentral. Lineage: Eukaryota; Foraminifera; Rotaliida; Globigerinidae.
UUGUCUUUCCCUCCCUUCGGGGUGGGAUUACAAAAGAUAACAGAUCUUUCAUGAUCAUGUGAUGGGUGGUGCAUGGCCGUUCUUAGUUCGUGGAGUGAUCUGUCUGCUUAAUUGCGUUUCAAAUUUUAUAUUUGUUAACAUGCGAGUCUUCAAUGACGGCCACUCCACCUUAUAGACAUUAUAUGAUAUGCACAUUUGUGUAUUUGAUUAUAACUUGUCUGGAGUCUGGCUCGAUUUUUUUGACUCAAUUGAACGCAACGGACGUGAUUGCAAGUCCUUGUUGAACAAAUUAUAUAUAUACUACUUCAUCAUUAGUAUAUAUAGUUCGCUUCUCAUGUCGUAGCAGUCAAACGGGCGGGCGUCUUAAUUGGCGCGGUCACGAGGCUUAAUAUGCUGCGGCUGGGAAAACUUGGGCGACCGCUGUAAUACUUCUCUCUUAAACCAGAGGAAGAUUGCGGCAAUAACAGGUCUGUGAU